AUUGGGAUUUGUGUUUGGAUAUUCUCUCCUCCCCUCCUCAAUUCAAUUCUCUUGGUUUGCACUAAUAUCCGUCGAUCCUUACAUGGGACUAUUAAUGAUUCUCCAGAGCCUAAAUUUAUAAGGAUCAGAAUAUCAGACCACCGUAGGAUUGGGAAGCUUCUGUUCUGCAUUUUGGAUAAUCAGCCCCUCUCAAACUCAACUUCAUUCCCUGUACUUUGAAAGAUUGAUCAAUUCUGAUUUUGGACUUCUCUGGCUCUCCAGAAAUUAAAAUACACGGAUUGGACCAGUGAUCGUAGGAUUCGGAAACUUCCGUUCUGCAUAUGGAUAACCCAGCCCCCAAACUCAACUUCUUUCUUUGUAGUUUGUUUUUGUUCCUCGCUAUUCUGAUUUGGAUUUUUGCUGGUCUUCAGAAAUUGGAGUAAUAUAUACAUUCUUAGUGGGAGCCCAGGAGGUCUAUUUUGGUUCAGCGUUCCUUAUUGGAUCUUACUUUUCAAACUUAAUUAAUUCUUCGAUGAUACAUCAGCUUUCUCCCUUCGUCAGUAACACUAAACUCUUGCAGAUGUUGCCACAGAAGAUAAUUUGCAGUUUAAAACAGCGGCCAUCGUCUGCCUGAUCCCUGCCCAUGCCUGAUUCACUAAUCACCCUCAGUGUUUGAUGCAUACUUCUUUCUAUUUUCUUAAGCUCUGGCGCCCUUAACUAGAAAUUCAUAGGGCGGUCUCUUGCUGUUACAGGUUCUAGUUGACGAAUUCAAGUCUGACCCGAUGCUGAGUACAACCUGUUUCAGGAUUUUUUUAAAAUUACUCAACUUCUCUUCCCAGUUCAUCAUAAAUUUUAUGGUGAUAAAAUUAUCUUAUAGAACAAUAUUUGAACAUUCAGAUUGAUCUGCACUCUGAAGAUGAUCUGGAGCUUCAAAUUAACGCCACCCAACAACUGAGAAAACAUCGUUCUCUCUAUUUCAAUUUCUUUCCCUCUUAUUUAGAGUCCAUCUGUUUGUUUAUUUUAGUUAGUUGCCUCCGUUCAUAGCUUUAAUUAAGGUUUAUUGUUUCUGCCCAACAUAUUGCAGAUCCUUUUCACCCGGGACAUGCCUGCUAGCUUGGUAGUGGCCUCAAAUCUGUUAAAUCGUUUGGUUUGGUAUCUAUCUCUUUGUAGUUUUAUUCGUGGUACGUAUGCCAGAUCUAUUAGUCUGCUAUGCUUGGCUGCAGGAUAUAAGUGGGGAGUUGGACCUACCUGGGUUUUGUAAGUGGAGUAAAGGUUAGUGUUCCGUGGGCAGUUUGUUCGGUUCAUUUGUGUUCGCCUCGACCAUGCAUUGGUUGCAGGGGUGUGAUCUUAUCUGGAACUAGAGAUUAGUCAUCACAUGGCAAAGAGAACAUGAGGAGGUCAGUUUCCCGUGCUCCGUCAGAUCAGUUUGUUGGUUGUGUUACUUGCUUUCGGUGAUUACAGAUGAAUACAGAUUAUCCGUGUAAUGCUCUGGACUCCCUGGCAUUCUCUUCUGGUGGCUAGCCAUGUCCAUUGAUCUGAGGUUGAUUCGAGACCCUGCGUUGAUUAUAUUAUUGUAACAGCUGAUCUCGCUUCUGGUAUUUGUUUGUGCUCCUUGAGAUGCACAGGAGGAGAAUGGUUGUUGAUAGAUGAAUUGGAGGAUGGAGGUUUGCUUGCUGCUCAAUGGCUAAUUUGGUUUGUUAUGGUUAUUUUGGUUUGGUCAGAUACUCCUGAUCUGAAGUUAUGUGGUUGAAGCAGGAUUGGAUAUGUGAUAAUUCGUAUCAGAAAACUUUUGAUCACUGUUUGGACAAUCAACUCUCCUCAAUUUUUGUUUUUGUUUGCACAGUUCAAUUUUAGUACACACUAAGUCUUAUUUGGUUCAUCGGUUGUUCUCCAGAAUUGGAAUAUUAUGUGCGGCUGGGCGGAAUUUCUGGUUUUCCUUUUCAUGACCUCAACAUCUUUUCGAACUCCACAACUAUUUUAUUUCCCAUACAAAAUUUUCUCUGCCUUCGGUGGUAAUUCUAUGUUUUCGCAGACAUCCAUUUGAAUGUGUCAAACCGAUGGACCUGGUUUCUCUCAGUCUAAGCUGAUCAAGGGUUACCCCUACCCCUCGGAUAUUUGGAUAAUCAACCCCACUCCAUUAAUUUAUACUAGCUAUUCAGUACAGUUAGUCUCUGUCUGAUUUCGUUUUGUUGGUGUUUGCCAGAACUCAGAAUUAUACUGCUUAGCGGGACGGGAGGACUCCACCUUGCGGACUUACCUUCUUGCUGAUCUACGUUUGGAUAAUCAACCUCCCUAGAUUAAAAUUUUCCAUCUCACUUAAAUGUUAGGCUCCCACAUUCCACAUUUCUGAUUUGGAGUUAUUUGGUGAUUUCCAGAAAUUGCUAUUGGCGGGUGCUCCUGUUUUCCCUGGCAUGAUGGUUCCUUGUUUAGUCACCCUACCGUCUUACCUUCUUUUACAAUUGAACAUUGCAGACACUAGUUUUCUCUGCCUUACUCGAUAAAUCCUCAGCUCUUGCAGAUACUAACUCAAAAGUGAUGAAUUGCAAUUUGGAGGCGGUGUUGUGUAGCUGAACCUUACCAACUGAGACAGGCUUACCAUUUACCCACUCAUAAUCAUCAUUUGAUGCAUGCCUUAACCCUUUUUUUAAUGAUAAGUUCAGGGAAAUUCCUCUUUCUCCUAGAUUCUUAGGUGAUGAGUUCAAAUCUACAGGUUACCGGGUUUUAUUAGAGAGCUUCUUAAUGUACUAUCUUUUCAGUUCAUCAUAACAUAGAUAACUUAUCUUACAUGAGGUAAUAUUCUAAAUUCAGAUUGUUCUGCGGUUCACGAAUCUAAGGACAAUCUGGACCUUAAAACGAUCGGCACAUCCUACAACUGAAUAAGACUUAAUCUCUUACAUUCCUCAUUUCAAGCCUAUAACUUACUCUUCUGUCUUUAUGUUACUUAACUGCUUGUCCAUCUAUAUCUUCGAUUUAGGUUUUUCUUCUACCCUUCCUAUGGUUCCAGAUUUAUUUUCGUUGAGGCCAUGCUGGUAGUGACUGGAAAUCUAUAAAAUCAUUUGGUUUGCAAUAUAUCACCCAUCUUCUGUUAGAUUAAUUUUCUGUCUUUCCAUGUGCUUUUGGUCAUCUUCCUGUGUUGACUACAGGAUAUAGUUAGGAGUUGGAUUACCCCUUAGGGCAAAAAAAUUACUCUCUGCGUGGAGCCAGGUCAGUGUUUCAUGGAUGGUCUGUUAGGUUCCAUUUUGUGUCCACAACAGCAAGUUGGCUGCAUGACUGGAUCUGGUCCAGAACUUGAGCUCCCUAUGGCAAAGGGGACUUGGAAUGCUCUCUACGGCAAAGGUGAUGGUUGUGAUGAGAUGAAUUGAACGGUUGAGGUUUGCCCUUUGUUUGUGGUUAUCUUUAUUGGUUAUGACUCGGUGCUUAUUUGAUAUGGUUGGAACUUGUGAGCUGCUGGAUUGGAUUGCUGAUCGUGGGAUGGAACUAGAGCAGUUACAUACAUAUUGUUUUGGGAUAAUCGGUCCUUCUGAAUUUAAUGUAUAUUUGGAACCCUGGAUUGGUUUGCACUGAUAGAUUGAUUUGAUUUUGUUUGUGGUAUGUGCAUCUGCUCCUCUAGCUAUAAGACUGAUGGUGGAGAUUGGAUUGAAGGGUAGAGGUUUGGUUAUAAGUUAAUGCUCAUUCUUUAGAUCAUGUCAUAAUUUUAUGAUGUUAAUUUAUUGGUUUUGGGUCAACCCUGAUCGGAAUUGUGUAUCAGACCUGCAUAGUUGAGGAUUUGAAGGUGUCAUGAAGCUUGACUGGACUGUAGAUCACAUAACUGGAAGAAGUCUGCAAUGCUUUGUUCGAAUAUUUUCUUCCUUUGAAGUUCCUUCUUUAAUACAGAUUGCUCUUCUGUUUGAUUUCAUCCCGAAGCGCAUUUGUACAGGGUAUUGCAGAUGUCAAUCUGAUAUGCAUUGUGGAUGGAAGUGUUGGAGAUUCUUAGUGCAAGGAGAGUUGGAAGGUCUAGCAAAUCGUUGGUUAACCGGGGUCUUUUGUGAAGCUUCAAGUUUCCCAACUGUUCCGACUUCUUAUCAAAAAAUCUUGAAGCAUAGUAUUCCUUGAUUUGGUUGUUUGCGGAAGCUUAAAGUUUCAACUUUCAACUUGCAUUCAGUGGCCCAUCUCUUCGGUACAGCUUGUAGUCUUUCAUUGUGUGCACAUCUGGAUCUUCUGAUUAGUGAUCUUGAAGCUUAUUAUUGAACUCUGUUGUGUUCCAACUUUGUUUGGAUGGCGAGAAGUCACUUAGAAGUCUUGGUUACUUUGUUACAUGUUUGUUUCUCGAAGUUGGGUUUCAUGCCAAUAUCUUAAGUUUUAUCAAUGCACUCAGAUGUGUUUUGUUUCUCUAGCAGUUGGUCGCAGAUUUAUGACCUGAUAGGAAAUAGAAGAUUGCAUGUACAUGAGGCUCCGAAGGCAGUAAAAGAUCCUUACAGUUUUAUAUA
Lolium rigidum is the source of this 4445-nucleotide long non-coding RNA. RefSeq lists it as uncharacterized. The transcript has 2 exons. The record is from RefSeq and is a predicted model, not a curated record. Lineage: Eukaryota; Viridiplantae; Streptophyta; Magnoliopsida; Poales; Poaceae.